GACGAACGCUGGCGGCGUGCCUAACACAUGCAAGUGGAGCGACGAACCAGGCUUCGGCCUGGGGCAAGGCCGCGAACGGGUGAGUAACACGUGGGUAACCUGCCCUGAUGAUUGGGACAACCCGAGGAAACUCGGGCUAAUACCGAAUGUGCCCUCCGGCCUCAAGGCCGCUGGGGAAAGGAAGCUUCGGCCUCCGCAUCGGGAUGGGCCCGGGGCCCAUUAGCUUGUUGGUGAGGUAACGGCUCACCAAGGCGACGAUGGGUAGCUGGUCUGAGAGGACGAUCAGCCACACUGGGACUGAGACACGGCCCAGACUCCUACGGGAGGCAGCAGUGGGGAAUCUUGCGCAAUGCGCGAAAGCGUGACGCAGCAACGCCGCGU
This 381-nucleotide ribosomal RNA is filed under the name uncultured bacterium. RNAcentral's name for it is "bacterial SSU rRNA". It matches the Rfam family "Bacterial small subunit ribosomal RNA", at positions 28 to 402 of the family's 1533-position model. The record is from RNAcentral.